Long non-coding RNA from Gasterosteus aculeatus aculeatus (three-spined stickleback), 281 nucleotides. NCBI's taxonomy places the organism in Eukaryota, Metazoa, Chordata, Actinopteri, Perciformes, Gasterosteidae. The record is from Ensembl.
CUUAGCAAUGACACAGCUCGGCCCCGGGGCCUCAUUGCUGAUAACGGGAACCGUGGCAACACAAAGCAUCCUGCAGUUUGUCGCUUAGAAUCCGUGGGUUCACAUGUGAGUGACUUCAGGACCGAUCUCUGCUUCACACAGAUGGUCCUUUCUAAUUACACGAAAAACCCCCAGAGAUUCAUGGUUUGAUGUUGCAGCUGCUUUUACAGCAGCUUCGUGAGGCCCUUUGUUAUUACUUCACUUUUUCAUUUAAUGAAUAUUUUAUGUAACAUGAAACUCGG